AUACGGAGGGGGCUAGCGUUGUUCGGAAUUACUGGGCGUAAAGCGCGCGUAGGCGGACCUGUAAGUCGGGGGUGAAAGCCCGAGGCUCAACCUCGGAACUGCCUUCGAUACUACAGGUCUUGAGUCCGAGAGAGGUGAGUGGAAUUCCUAGUGUAGAGGUGAAAUUCGUAGAUAUUAGGAAGAACACCAGUGGCGAAGGCGGCUCACUGGCUCGGUACUGACGCUGAGGUGCGAAAGCGUGGGGAGCAAACAGGAUUAGAAACCCCAGUAGUCC
This 274-nucleotide ribosomal RNA is filed under the name uncultured bacterium. RNAcentral describes it as "partial 16S ribosomal RNA". It matches the Rfam family "Bacterial small subunit ribosomal RNA", at positions 523 to 796 of the family's 1533-position model. The record is from RNAcentral.